RNAcentral lists this unclassified non-coding RNA (1090 nucleotides) under Hevea brasiliensis (rubber tree). The record is from RNAcentral. Lineage: Eukaryota; Viridiplantae; Streptophyta; Magnoliopsida; Malpighiales; Euphorbiaceae.
AGCAGCAGCAGCAACAGCAACAGCAACAGUAUCAAAAACAACAUAAAUCACAGCCACAGGGAGCGUCCGAAGAGGUCAAGACUAUAUGGAUCGGUGACUUGCUUCAUUGGAUGGAUGAAACUUAUCUACAUAAUUGCUUCUCUCAUACAGGCGAGGUUUCCUCUGUUAAAGUGAUACGCAAUAAGCAGACUGGUCAGCCAGAAGGGUAUGGAUUUGUUGAGUUUUAUUCACAUGCAACAGCUGAGAAAGUUUUGCAGAGCUAUAAUGGCUCUGUGAUGCCAAACACAGAUCAGCCCUUCCGCCUUAAUUGGGCAAGCUUUGCAGGUGACAGGCGAUUGGACGCUGGUUCUGACCUAUCUAUAUUUGUUGGCGAUUUGGCUGCAGAUGUGACUGAUGCUAUGUUGCAGGAAACCUUUGCCAGUAAAUAUCCAUCUGUCAAGGGAGCCAAAGUUGUAACUGAUCCAAACACUGGCUGUUCAAAAGGUUAUGGUUUUGUUAGGUUUGGUGAUGAAAAUGAGAGGUCAAGGGCCAUGGUAGAGAUGAAUGGAAUUUAUUGCUCAAGUAGGCCCAUGCGCAUAGGUGUUGCAACUCCCAAAAAGUCAUCUGGAUAUCAACAGUAUUCUUCACAAGCUUUGGUGUUGGCUGGUGGACAUGCUCCAAAUGGUGCUAUGGCCCAGGGAUCCCAAUCUGAUGGAGACUCUAAUAAUACAACUAUAUUUGUGGGAGGAAUUGACUCUGACAUCAGUGAUGAGGAUCUGAGGCAGCCUUUUUCCCAGUUUGGUGAGGUUGUGUCUGUGAAGAUACCUGUUGGGAAGGGAUGUGGUUUUGUGCAAUUUGCUAACAGAAAGAGUGCUGAGGAUGCGCUGCAGAGUUUGAAUGGCACAACAAUUGGAAAGCAGACAGUUCGCCUCUCUUGGGGUCGCAGUCCAGCACACAAGCAGUGGAGAGGGGAUCAUAAAUAUAAUCAGUGGAAUGGUGCAUAUUUUGGAGAGCAAGGGUAUGGUGGAUAUGGAUAUGCAAUGGCACCAAAGCAGGAUCAGAACAUGUAUGUUGCAGCUGCAGCUUCAGGCGCAUCUUAACUGCAGCACAA